CCUACGGGAGGCAGCAGUGGGGAAUAUUUCGCAAUGGGCGAUAGCCUGACGCAGCGACGCCGCGUGAAGGAUGAAGGUCUUCGGAUCGUAAACCUCUGUCAGCAGGGAAGAACGGUCACUGUGCUAAUCAGCAGUGCAUUGACGGUACCUGCAAAGGAAGCACCGGCUAACUCCGUGCCAGCAGCCGCGGUAAUACGGAGGGUGCGAGCGUUAAUCGGAAUUACUGGGCGUAAAGCGCUCGUAGGCGGGAUGUCAAGUCAAGGGUGAAAUCCCCGCGCUCAACGUGGGAACUGCCUUUGAAACUGGCAAACUGGAGUGUGUGAGAGGAUAGUGGAAUUCCAGGUGUAGGAGUGAAAUCCGUAGAUAUCUGGAGGAACAUCAGUGGCGAAGGCGACUAUCUGGCACAUAACUGACGCUGAGGAGCGAAAGCGUGGGUAGCAAACAGGAUUAGAUACCCCAGUAGUC
This 465-nucleotide ribosomal RNA is filed under the name uncultured bacterium. RNAcentral's name for it is "partial 16S ribosomal RNA". It matches the Rfam family "Bacterial small subunit ribosomal RNA", at positions 338 to 795 of the family's 1533-position model. The record is from RNAcentral.